AUUGAACGCUGGCGGCAGGCCUAACACAUGCAAGUCGAGCGGAUGAACGGAGCUUGCUCCUGGAUUCCGCGUCGGACGGGUGAGUAAUGCCUAUGAAUCUCCCUGCUAUUGGUGGAUAACGUCCUGAGACGGGCGCUACUACCGCCUACUUCCUGAUGGAGAUACUUGGGGGGCUUCGGAACUCACGCUCUCAGAUGAGCCUACGUCGGAUUAGCUAGUUGGUGGGGUAAGUGCCUACCGAGGCGACGAUCCGCAACUGGUCGGAGAGGAUGAUCAGUCACACUGGAAGUGAGACACGGGCCAGACUCCUACGGGAGGGAGCAGUGGGGAAUAUUGGACAAUGGGCGAAAGCCUGACCCAGCGAUGCCGCGUGUGUGAAGAAGGUCUUCGGAUUGUAAAGCACUUUAAGUUGGGAGGAAGGGCAGUAAGUUAAUACCUUGCUGUUUUGACGGUACCAAGAGAAUAAGCACCGGCUAACUUCGUG
This 484-nucleotide ribosomal RNA is filed under the name uncultured bacterium. Its description in RNAcentral is "partial 16S ribosomal RNA". It matches the Rfam family "Bacterial small subunit ribosomal RNA", at positions 30 to 507 of the family's 1533-position model. The record is from RNAcentral.